Molecule: ribosomal RNA, 133 nt
Filed under: uncultured bacterium
Lineage: Bacteria
Description: partial 16S ribosomal RNA
Source: RNAcentral
CACGUAGUUGGCCGGGCCUCUUCUGGAGGUACCGUCAUUUCUUCCCUCCUGAAAGCGGUUUACAACCCGAAGGCCUUCAUCCCGCACGCGGUGUCGCUGCAUCAGGCUUUCGCCCAUUGUGCAAUAUUCCCUG